GAUAGAAAGUUACUUCGGUUACAUCGGUGACAGGUGGUGCAUGGUUGUCGUCAGCUCGUGUCGUGAGAUGUUGGGUUAAGUCCCGCAACGAGCGCAACCCCUAUUGUUAGUUGCCAUCAUUCAGUUUGGGCACUCUAGCGAGACUGCCGGUAAUAAACCGGAGGAAGGUGGGGAUGACGUCAAAUCAUCAUGCCCCUUAUGACCUGGGCUACACACGUGCUACAAUGGUUGGUACAACGAGUUGCGAGUCGGUGACGGCGAGCUAAUCUCUUAAAGCCAAUCUCAGUUCGGAUUGUAGGCUGCAACUCGCCUACAUGAAGUCGGAAUCGCUAGUAAUCGCGGAUCAGCACGCCGCGGUGAAUACGUUCCCGGGCCUU
Molecule: ribosomal RNA, 377 nt
Filed under: uncultured Streptococcus sp.
Lineage: Bacteria; Bacillati; Bacillota; Bacilli; Lactobacillales; Streptococcaceae
Description: bacterial SSU rRNA
Rfam family: Bacterial small subunit ribosomal RNA
Source: RNAcentral